UACGAAGGGGGCUAGCGUUGUUCGGAAUCACUGGGCGUAAAGGGUGCGUAGGCGGGCAAUUAAGUCAGGGGUGAAAUCCCGAGGCUCAACCUCGGAACUGCCUUUGAUACUGGUUGUCUUGGGUCCGGAAGAGGUGAGUGGAACUGCGAGUGUAGAGGUGAAAUUCGUAGAUAUUCGCAAGAACACCGGUGGCGAAGGCGGCUCACUGGUCCGGAACUGACGCUGAGGCACGACAGCGUGGGGAGCAAACAGG
This 253-nucleotide ribosomal RNA is filed under the name uncultured bacterium. Its description in RNAcentral is "partial 16S ribosomal RNA". It matches the Rfam family "Bacterial small subunit ribosomal RNA", at positions 524 to 776 of the family's 1533-position model. The record is from RNAcentral.